Molecule: transfer RNA, 25 nt
Filed under: Anguilla australis (Australian shortfin eel)
Lineage: Eukaryota; Metazoa; Chordata; Actinopteri; Anguilliformes; Anguillidae
Description: partial tRNA-Pro
Source: RNAcentral
CAGAGGGUGGUCUAGUUUAUGAUCC